This is a long non-coding RNA of Cucumis sativus (cucumber), 628 nucleotides long. RefSeq lists it as uncharacterized. NCBI's taxonomy places the organism in Eukaryota, Viridiplantae, Streptophyta, Magnoliopsida, Cucurbitales, Cucurbitaceae. The transcript has 2 exons. The record is from RefSeq and is a predicted model, not a curated record.
AAUUAGGAUUAAAUCUUAACCCUAUCGAAAAACCCUCCUUCCAUUCAUGUCCAUCUCUUCACUCCACUACCCGGUUCCGCCCCCAUCUCUGAACUCUUUGAAGGUCCUCUGGACGAUGCCCAGUUCCAUCACUGCCACUGCCCCCUCGUGUCCGUCUCCUCACUCCAGCGCCGCUGUAACCUCCUAUACUGGAAGACGAAACGUCCUCCGUCCUAUUCUGUUCAAUUCAUGCUCGUAAUCUCCAAUCCGCCACAUUCUCUUUAACAUUCAAUUCGCAGUCAUCACCUCCUCUACUGGGAAAGGUAAUACAAGAGACAGGCCAAUGAGCGACAAGAAGCAGACUUGAUCGUCAUAGGGGAAUUUUCUUCAAAAUUGCUUCCGCUUAGUGUCUUUACUGUUUUCCAGUUUUGAGGAUUUAAAAUGAGUUCCAUGUUUCGGUUUGUUUUUAAGUAAUUUAUAAACGAUACUUUAAAUUUUUUAUUUUGUUUAAAAUAGGGCGCGAAUGAAGUUUCUUUGAUAAUGAUUGUUUCAAAUAAAUUUUUAUCGUAUUUCGUAUCAACCAAAGUGUUUUUUUUUUAAAGAUACUGACUUUGACUUAAUCUGAAAAGUUGGGACGAUACAAUGGUGA